RNAcentral lists this long non-coding RNA (411 nucleotides) under Nicotiana benthamiana. RNAcentral describes it as "long non-coding RNA (NBEN_LNC013090)". Lineage: Eukaryota; Viridiplantae; Streptophyta; Magnoliopsida; Solanales; Solanaceae. The record is from RNAcentral.
CUUUAUAAAGGCAUACAAUGAUAUAUACACGUACAUGAAUUCAUUCUUUGGCAAUUUUACCAUUCUUAUAUGGGAACCUGGAUAUGUAUUAUCCAUUGUAUAUAAGUAUCCUGGUAAUAUUUUGUAUGAAUCAGCCGGUUCACCUCUAAGAAAAUUCAUUGCCUUUUCUUUAGCCCUCCACGCCAACAUGUAGCUAACAUCAACACCUAAAUCUGAUUUCACAUCAUCAAUAAUGUCCCUCGGAGUGUAUUUCCUCUUAUGGUUUGUAAGCUUUGUCCUUAUAAUACCACCUAUAGGGCUGCUACUAGCCUGCCGCUGCUCGUACACCUUGUCCUUUAGCGGACAUGUAUGGUUAUCAUUGAUUUCUCUCACCUUGAAUAUUUCUGAUUUGUUAUGCUUGAAUCCUUAAAC